RNAcentral lists this ribosomal RNA (467 nucleotides) under uncultured bacterium. RNAcentral's name for it is "partial 16S ribosomal RNA". It matches the Rfam family "Bacterial small subunit ribosomal RNA", at positions 29 to 507 of the family's 1533-position model. The record is from RNAcentral.
ACGCACGCUGGCGGCGUGCUUAACACCUGCCAGUCGAACGGAAAGGCCCUGCUUUUGUGGGGUGCUCGAGUGGCGAACGGGUGAGUAACACGUGAGUAACCUGCCCUUGACUUUGGGAUAACUUCAGGAAACUGGGGCUAAUACCGGAUAGGAGCUCCUGCUGCAUGGGGGGGGUUGGAAAGUUUCGGCGGUUGGGGAUGGACUCGCGGCUUAUCAGCUUGUUGGUGGGGUAGUGGCUUACCAAGGCUUUGACGGGUAGCCGGCCUGAGAGGGUGACCGGCCACAUUGGGACUGAGAUACGGCCCAGACUCCUACGGGAGGCAGCAGUGGGGAAUAUUGCACAAUAGGCGGAAGCCUGAUGCAGCAACGCCGCGUGCGGGAUGACGGCCUUCGGGUUGUAAACCGCUUUCGCCUGUGACGAAGCGUGAGUGACGGUAAUGGGUAAAGAAGCACCGGCUAACUACGUG